RNAcentral lists this ribosomal RNA (253 nucleotides) under uncultured bacterium. RNAcentral's name for it is "partial 16S ribosomal RNA". It matches the Rfam family "Bacterial small subunit ribosomal RNA", at positions 524 to 776 of the family's 1533-position model. The record is from RNAcentral.
UACAGAGGGUGCAAGCGUUAAUCGGAGUUACUGGGCGUAAAGGGCGCGUAGGUGGUUAUGCAAGUGAGAUGUGAAAGCCCUGGGCUUAACCUAGGAAUUGCAUCUUAUACUGUGUGACUGGAGAGUAGUAGAGGGUAGUGGAAUUUCCGGUGUAGCGGUGAAAUGCGUAGAGAUCGGAAGGAACAUCAGUGGCGAAGGCGACUACCUGGACUACAACUGACACUGAGGCGCGAAAGCGUGGGGAGCAAACAGG